RNAcentral lists this long non-coding RNA (739 nucleotides) under Cricetulus griseus (Chinese hamster). RNAcentral's name for it is "lncRNA (ENSCGRG00015030991.1)". Lineage: Eukaryota; Metazoa; Chordata; Mammalia; Rodentia; Cricetidae. The record is from RNAcentral.
UUCACUUUGCUGCUUGCUGUACAGACUGUGCCACGCAGGCUGGCUAGGUCGCUCUCACAAAGGGGACUUACUUCCAUGGAGGAGCAAGGAGAGAUGAAGGCUGCCUCUGGAUCAGACAAAGGCAAACAGCAAGCACCAAGUGAUUUUUUUUGCAGAAGUUGGUUUUAAGAAGAAAAGCCAGGAGGCUGUACUAAGAUGAAUUGGGCAGGCUUCCCAUGCACAUCAACCAGCCGUGGCACAUCAAGGUGCACGAAGACUAGACACCUCCUCUGCAGUAAGACUUGACAACCUAACCCAGUAGGAGGAAAGGGUCCCAAAAGCAGGCAACAGAGUCAGAACAGCCCCUGCUCCCGCUGUUUAGGAACCUCACAAGAAGACCAAGCUACACAACUCUCACAUAUAUGCAGAGACCUAGGAUUCCUGAGCUCUGCCAAAUGUUGGGCUGUGGGUCUCUGUGUCUGUUCCCAUCAGUUGCUGGAUGAAGCCUCUCCGAUGACAGUUGACCUCGAGAACCAAUCUAUGAGUAUUGCAGAAUAUCAUUACAAAUUAUUUCACUUGUGGCAUCCAAACCACAACUAAGUCUGAGUAUUGGGUGAAAGCCUGGAGAUUUAAUUAAAAGACGAGACAUCCGGCUGCUCAUGCUAUGUGCAUCUGUCUGACUUUAUUCCAGGGGUAGAGCAGCCUUAUAUACAUGUACAGCACAGUGGAGAAACCCAGGUGUGAGAGUCCAUGUUUCCCA